Molecule: long non-coding RNA, 75 nt
Filed under: Ornithorhynchus anatinus (platypus)
Lineage: Eukaryota; Metazoa; Chordata; Mammalia; Monotremata; Ornithorhynchidae
Description: lncRNA (ENSOANG00000047193.1)
Source: RNAcentral
UGAAACUGUGGUCCAAGAGAAAGGAAUGACAAGCAAGUCCUCAGACACUAGCAAGGAGAAGAGAGAACCGAUCAA